GCCAUCAUAGCUCAGUAGGUAGAGCACUUCCAUGGUAAGGAAGGGGUCGUCGGUUCAAAUCCGAUUGAUGGCUCCA
Molecule: transfer RNA, 76 nt
Filed under: Candidatus Peribacteria bacterium
Lineage: Bacteria; Candidatus Peregrinibacteriota; Candidatus Peribacteria
Description: tRNA-Thr
Rfam family: tRNA
About the family: Transfer RNA (tRNA) molecules are approximately 80 nucleotides in length. Their secondary structure includes four short double-helical elements and three loops (D, anti-codon, and T loops).
Source: RNAcentral